GGCCUUUAGCACAACAAGUAUUAAAGGUCCCGCCUGCCCAGUGACUCACUUUUAACGGCCGCGGUACUCUAACCGUGCAAAGGUAGCGUAAUCACUUGCCCCUUAAAUAGGGGCUCGUAUGAAUGGCUAGAUGAGGGCUCAACUGUCUCCUAAGACACCCCAAUGAACCUGCUCUCCCAGUACAAAAGCUGGAAUAACCCCAUAAGACGAGAAGACCCUGUGGAGCUUUUAAACACACUAUCAAGCUUCCCCGGCCCGUGAUAACAACUUUAAGUUGGGGCGACUACGGAGAAAUACAGAACCUCCACGAAAUAAACUAAAACCUGCCCCAGGCUAACAUACCAAAGGCACCCAGCCCUCUGACCCAGUAUAACUGAACACCGGACCAAGUUACCCCAGGGAUAACAGCGCCAUCCCCCUCAAGAGUCCCUAUCGCCAGGGGGGUUUACGACCUCGAUGUUGGAUCAGGACACCCCGGUGGUGUAGCCGCUGCCAAAGGUUCGUUUGUUCAACGACUAAUGUCCUACGUG
This 530-nucleotide ribosomal RNA is filed under the name Phyllodactylus lanei rupinus. RNAcentral describes it as "partial 16S ribosomal RNA". It matches the Rfam family "Bacterial large subunit ribosomal RNA", at positions 1817 to 2602 of the family's 2925-position model. Lineage: Eukaryota; Metazoa; Chordata; Lepidosauria; Squamata; Phyllodactylidae. The record is from RNAcentral.